Long non-coding RNA from Argiope bruennichi, 456 nucleotides. RefSeq lists it as uncharacterized. Lineage: Eukaryota; Metazoa; Arthropoda; Arachnida; Araneae; Araneidae. The record is from RefSeq and is a predicted model, not a curated record. The transcript has 3 exons.
UAGUAUAUAAAAGCUAGAGAAUAAAAUCCACCUCACUGUACGAUUUUCAUAUUUGCGACGUGCUAUAUUUCCUUCUGAUCGAAAAUAUGAAGACUAUCUUGCUAUGUGUGCUCGCUUUGGCCUUGAUGACCUAUUGCUGCGGUUUUUCGAUUUCGGUCUUGUGCUGGAGGGAGCAAGAUGGGAAAGUGACCUGCAAUCAUACUUACGAUCCCACCAAAAACGACGCAGUGGUAGCCCUCCCUGUACAGGCUGGCCAACAGGUCAGAUCCUACGCAGUGGCAAAUAAUGGUGGUAAUGACUAUUAUUCACCUCGAGUUCCUCCUCCAUUAUAAACUGAAGCACUGAAAGGACAACAAAAACAUGGAAAUAUUUAUUCAUUUUAAAAAUCAUUUCCAAUUUUUUAAAUUGUCUAUGGUAUAUAGAAAUGUUUGUAUAAAAGUUCUUCAAAAUAAAUGC